This 1941-nucleotide long non-coding RNA is filed under the name Gallus gallus (chicken). The record is from RNAcentral. Lineage: Eukaryota; Metazoa; Chordata; Aves; Galliformes; Phasianidae.
CUCUUCUCCUACCAAAAACUCAGGAUGAUUAGAUGUGUUUGUCCACUUGGCCCCAGAGCUGUGAUCUAAAAUAGCUGGCCGCAUCUGUCUGUUGUAUGACCUGGCCUGAUCAGGUGACACCGGGAUACGUCUGGCACCAUUUGACAUCUUUUUGGACCAUAUUGCUUGGUCCACCAUUUUGAGGCCAUUUUGUCUCUGCUCUGUACUUUCAGGUUUAUUGAGGCCGUCCCGCAGCAGCCAGCUGUCCCGGUAGGCCGCCUGGCCCUGCUGCUUGUGCCGCCUCGCGAUGACGUGGGGGAUGCCUACGGGCAGCGUGUCCGUUGCCCUCCCGAUGCGCAGGGUCGUGGAGCCGGGGUGGAUCACCACGAUGAAGUUGCUCUGGAUUUGCUCCUGCAGGGACUCGGGCACGGCGGCGGGGACGAUGGGCCGCUUGCCGCCGCGCUGCUCUCGCUCGCGCUCCUUGUCCUUGCCGUUCUCCGUCUCGCCUUUCUCCGCCUGGGUCAUGUUUCCGGCCCGCCAGGCGGCUCCGAGCCGGGCCCGACAGCAGCGCGGGGCGGAACGGGCGGGACCACGGCCGGCACCGCCCCACGGGCAGCUCAGGCGAAUACCGCGGACGGGGGUGGGUGUACGAGCUUCUCUACCAGCAGCAGGCGGAAGCCAACAGGUUCAUAGAUCCGCUGGUAACAAAGGGGCGUUGCUGGGUGCGAGUUACCUGCUGGAGGCUGUUUCAAAAGCUACGUGAAAAACUGAAAGUGGCGCCUCAUGGAAGCUAGUUCCGUCUGGGUUCUGCAUGGCGGAACCGGCCUGCUCCUAUCGACCCAACAAUCCCUGGAACAACGAUUAAAAAUCCCAGCCCAUGCAGAAAAGAAGUGACUGGAAGAAAAUAACUCGUGUGUUAGUCCUCAGUGUUACCGAGCAGCUUUUCUUCCUGUAAUGAAAAUGAAACCUCCUUUUAUUUAAAGUAUCCUAUUAGUGUUUGCACAGAAUAUGCAUAUAUGUUGAUGAUAGAAGGAAGUUGUUUCAUGAGUGCCUAUAAAAUGGGUAUGUUAUAAAACCCACGAUAGGGCUUUAAGGAAGUGAGUUUUUUAAAAUGGAAGGACUGGAAAGAAACUACCUUAAAUUGUGUUUUAGAAGUGUUUUUAGCACAUCAUUAACAUUAUAAAAAUGCAACAAGGACCAGUAGAGACAAAACCUUUAAGGAAGCACUCCUUUAAGUGAUCUUCUGCAUGGUGUGUAAGUAUUACAUAUUUUUCCUCGUUUGACCAGGCAGGUGUUCACUGCGCUUUGAGUGGAACCUUGUGGUUGUAUAAGAAUUAAAGAGUCUGCCGUCUGACAAGCCGUGUAUAAUUUAUUUUGCAACUACAGUAAAAUGUUCAGAAACUAUACAAAGACUUUAGACAGACAGUAAACAUGUAUUUAAUAACACUGCACUUCAGUUACACUGGAUCCUUGAAGGAGUUCCCAGUACAACUUCAUUCAUCUGCUUAUAUUGCAGAACAGUUCUCAGUUAGGCAUGCACGUUCACAACAUCCAAACUCGUUUGGUCCACCACUGAACUCUCUUCCCUUUCUUCUUGUGAACAUGCAUGCUCCUUUGCCUGCUUCUUACAGCAGGCAUUUACCUUCCUCAUCCACCUCCAGCCAUUGGUGGUGGACUAGGGCCUCCACCCCAGUGAUUUAUUCUGCCCAUUCUACGGCGAGGAUUUCCUGGAGGCCCUCUUCCAUCACUUUGUCCUAAGUAGGAGGAAGAUGUGUAGCCUCUUCUCCUCAGGUCUGGUUGAAUAAUGCUCUGGAAGAACAUAACUACAAAGUCUGCUAUUGACCAGAAGAAAUCUGUUAUGGCUGACAAGCUCCAAGGAGCCCGGCUCCGGUUAUCCAAAACUUGUCCAUUAGAUAUGUACACCAUGGCGGCGGCCUCUUAGCGCUGCCCCGUCACCUGCCC